UCUGUGUUGAUUGAUGAGAAGCUU
RNAcentral lists this non-coding RNA (24 nucleotides) under Arabidopsis thaliana (thale cress). Lineage: Eukaryota; Viridiplantae; Streptophyta; Magnoliopsida; Brassicales; Brassicaceae. The record is from RNAcentral.